GAUGAACGCUGGCGGCGUGCCUAAUACAUGCAAGUCGAGCGAACAGACGAGGAGCUUGCUCCUCUGACGUUAGCGGCGGACGGGUGAGUAACACGUGGAUAACCUACCUAUAAGACUGGGAUAACUUCGGGAAACCGGAGCUAAUACCGGAUAAUAUAUUGAACCGCAUGGUUCAAUAGUGAAAGACGGUUUUGCUGUCACUUAUAGAUGGAUCCGCGCCGCAUUAGCUAGUUGGUAAGGUAACGGCUUACCAAGGCGACGAUGCGUAGCCGACCUGAGAGGGUGAUCGGCCACACUGGAACUGAGACAGGGUCCAGACUCCUACGGGAGGCAGCAGUAGGGAAUCUUCCGGAAUGGGCGAGAGCCUGACGGGGCAACGCCGCGUGAGUGAUGAAGGUCUUCGGAUCGUAAAACUCUGUUAUUAGGGAAGAACAAAUGUGUAAGUAACUAUGCACGUCUUGACGGUACCUAAUCAGAAAGCCACGGCUAACUACGUG
RNAcentral lists this ribosomal RNA (497 nucleotides) under uncultured bacterium. RNAcentral describes it as "partial 16S ribosomal RNA". It matches the Rfam family "Bacterial small subunit ribosomal RNA", at positions 28 to 507 of the family's 1533-position model. The record is from RNAcentral.